RNAcentral lists this ribosomal RNA (482 nucleotides) under uncultured bacterium. RNAcentral describes it as "bacterial SSU rRNA". It matches the Rfam family "Bacterial small subunit ribosomal RNA", at positions 32 to 512 of the family's 1533-position model. The record is from RNAcentral.
GACGAAACGCUGGCGGCGUGCUUAAAUACAUGCAAGUCGAACGGAAGUAGCAAUACUUUAGUGGCGCACGGGUGAGGAACACGUAGAUGAUCUGCCCUUGAGAUCGAGAUAACCCCGGGAACUGGGGCUAAUACCGGAUAAUGCAUUAUUAUUGGAUUAAUAAUGUUAAAGCGGCGCAAGUCGCACUUGAGGAUGAGUCUGCGACCUAUCAGCUAGUUGGCGGUGUAAUGGACCACCAAGGCAAAGACGGGUAGCUGAUCUGAGAGGAUGAUCAGCCACACUGGGACUGAGACACGGCCCAGACUCCUACGGGAGGCAGCAGUAAGGAAUAUUGGUCAAUGCCCGCAAGGGUGAACCAGCCAUUCCGCGUGGAGGAUGAAGGCCCUAUGGGUUGUAAACUUCUUUUAGAUGGGAAGAAAAUGCUAGAUGUAUCUGGUACUGACGGUACCAUCAGAAUAAGCACCGGCUAACUCCGUGCCAGC